Molecule: long non-coding RNA, 165 nt
Organism: Gadus morhua (Atlantic cod)
Lineage: Eukaryota; Metazoa; Chordata; Actinopteri; Gadiformes; Gadidae
Exons: 3
Source: RefSeq, a predicted model, not a curated record
CGAUGGGGCGCUAAUUGGGGUCGCACACGCCCAGACUUCCUCUCGUUCGGCAGUUUGGAAAGGGGGGAUGUCAGCGUUAUCUCCAACUGCCCGCGUGUGAUAUACCCUGUUGUCCUAUGUUACAGUUUGGAAGGGGAAUAAAUGCUGUCAGAUCCAUUCCACGUC